This is an RNA transcript of Pan troglodytes (chimpanzee), 3121 nucleotides long. It is a transcript of the gene named transmembrane protein 68, with no coding region annotated. The transcript has 10 exons. The record is from RefSeq and is a predicted model, not a curated record. Lineage: Eukaryota; Metazoa; Chordata; Mammalia; Primates; Hominidae.
GUGUCAUCCCCAUCGCGGCCCGGGCUGCAGCCUCCGCUUGGCUUCUUUCACACGGGUUGCUUCGGAGGAAUCCGCCGUGCAAAUCUGUCCGCCCCCUUGGCCACUGAUCCCCCGAAGAGCUUCUGUCGCCGCUCUAGGAAUACAGACAUUGAAGUUUGGGACAAGAUAUUUAUCUAACUUCUGUGUCAAAAUUAACGACCUGCUAUGGCAAUGAAGAAAGAAACUGAAUUUGUCAUUUUCACCUGAAGAAAAAUGAUAGACAAAAAUCAAACCUGUGGUGUAGGACAGGAUUCUGUGCCCUAUAUGAUUUGUCUGAUUCACAUACUCGAAGAAUGGUUUGGUGUGGAGCAGUUGGAGGACUAUUUGAAUUUUGCAAACUAUCUCUUGUGGGUUUUCACACCACUAAUACUUUUAAUACUUCCUUACUUUACUAUCUUUCUUCUCUACCUUACUAUUAUUUUCUUACACAUUUAUAAGAGAAAGAAUGUAUUGAAAGAAGCCUACUCUCAUAAUUUAUGGGAUGGUGCAAGGAAAACAGUGGCAACUCUGUGGGAUGGACAUGCAGCCGUUUGGCAUGGUUAUGAAGUUCAUGGAAUGGAAAAAAUACCAGAAGAUGGACCAGCACUUAUAAUUUUUUAUCAUGGAGCUAUUCCUAUAGAUUUUUACUAUUUCAUGGCUAAAAUAUUUAUACACAAAGGCAGAACUUGCCGAGUAGUAGCUGAUCACUUUGUCUUUAAAAUUCCAGGGUUUAGUUUAUUACUGGAUGUGUUUUGUGCUCUACAUGGACCAAGAGAAAAAUGUGUUGAAAUUCUGAGGAGUGGCCACUUGUUAGCUAUCUCACCAGGUGGAGUUCGAGAAGCCCUAAUUAGUGAUGAAACUUAUAACAUCGUAUGGGGUCAUCGCAGAGGCUUCGCUCAGGUUGCAAUUGAUGCAAAAGUGCCCAUUAUUCCUAUGUUUACACAAAAUAUUCGAGAAGGAUUUAGAUCACUUGGAGGAACAAGGUUAUUUAGGUGGCUUUAUGAGAAAUUCCGCUAUCCAUUUGCUCCAAUGUAUGGAGGUUUUCCAGUGAAGUUACGGACCUAUUUAGGUGACCCCAUUCCGUAUGACCCACAGAUAACAGCGGAACAAUUAGCUGAAAAGGUUUUUGGAAAUAUUGGACUGGAGUUUGGGUGAAAGUCGGAAUUGAUGAUGGAGAUUUCAGUCAUUUGCACUGAGACAGUUACUUAAGCCAUGAGCUUUACAAGGCAGGUGAGAAAGAAAGAAAAGUGCUGAGAACAGACUUCAGGAGAUGUAGCACUGAAGGAGAAGGCCAAGGAAGAAGUGCCAGAGCUGACUGAAAGAGAACUGGCAGAGAGUCCCCUUUAGUGUUUAUCAUGUGCAAGGUGUUGCUGUGCUUAAUGCUGGAGAAAUUCUAAGAUGUAUCUUAAGGAGCUUACAGUCUGAUAUAGAAAAUAGACACGUGGACAACAACUAUAAUUGAAGGCUUAAUAAAAUAAGUAUAAGAAAUAUGCUGCAGCCAGGCACAGUGGCCCAUGCCUGUAAUCCCAGCACAUUGGAAGGCCAAGGUGGGAGAAUUGCUUGAGCCCCAGGAGUUCAAGAACAGCCUGGGAAACAUAGUGAAACCCCAUCUCUAUAAAAAAGAGAAAUAUAUAAGCUUCAGACAAAGAAUGCUGUUCAAGCUUUGAUUGAUAAGCACCAAAGAAUACCAGGAAACAUUAUGAGUGCUUUGUUAGAACGUUUUCAUUGAUAACAAAGGGUCAACUAGAAGAUGAUUUAGUACAUUUAUAUUAAAUGUUUGUAUCUAAGGUACUGUCUUCUGAAUUUUGUAGGUCCUAUAAUUAGUAUUUUUUUAAAAAAUCAUGUUAAUAAGCAUCUUUCACAGAAUUCAUUUCUUUAAAAUAGUCAAUUUUGUUUUUGCAAUUGUGUCAAAUACUAACAAAUUACACACCUAGUAAUUCAGAAAAAGAUAUCUUAUUUGUAAAUUCCUAACAAUGUAUGCUAAACAUAUAGAUUCUUAAGUUUAUUAAUAACAGCAGUAUAGGUUAAACAAACAUUCCUGGAUAAUGCGUUAAAUUUCUGUAUCUGUCGCCCUGAGCUGAUUUUGAAAGAUGGUAUAAGCUAGGGGUUAGUAUAGUUGUUUAAGUUAGAAAAAACAUGCUAUUGUCUGCCCCUCAUUCCCUUCAUGACCUUGGGCAAGUCACGUAAUGUUUUUGUGCCUCAACAAUUCACUUUUUAAAAACAUGAUCGUAUGGUGAAUGAUAUUAUUUUGUUAUUUAUAUUUGCUGUGAUUGAUAACUGUUGAACCAAAAUAAUAAAAUAAUUAAUUUAAACAAUGUCAAAAUCCUUUAGCAGUUAUGUAUAUAUUUUCUCCAUUGUGUGUUUAAAUUAUGUCAUGUCCAGUUGCCAAGCACAAUGAAAAAGAUGUAUUAUUUUUUAAAUUGAAUAAAAAAUUAGGAAAAAUAAAAUUUCUAAUUAUUAUUUUUAGUAUGAUAUUUUUAACAAGAGUCUAUAGGCAAACAAUAUAGGGUGUGCUGUGCAUUGUCAGCCCUAUACUAUGGUCUUAAUAAUGCCAGCUUAAAAAUCACUGUUGUGCUCUGCAUUUCGUGUGUUAGAAGCUGAUUCUAGGCUGAGGAAAGCAAGAGUUCUCUACUUUUGCUCAAUAUUGAGGCUUACCCAGUUUGACUGUACAGCCAGUGAAGUGGUUUAUUGCUUCAAUAAAAAUAUACUUGAAUGAUGAAUUUAUUUAUGUUUUGUUUUGUUUUUAUUUAGAGAUGGGGUUUUGCCAUGUUGGCCAGGCUGGUCUCGAACUCCUGACCUCAGGUGAUCCACCUGCCUCAGCCUCCCAACUUGCUGGGAUUACAGGUGUGAGCCACCAUGCCCAGCCUGAAUGAUGAAUUUAUGUGAACGCAAAGCCCUCUGAAAAAUUAAUGAUUUUCAAUUUGUUGUCUUCUUGAAAACUGAAUUUAAGUAUUAUUUAAACAGAAAAGUGUCAGAAAUCAAAUGCAGUAUCUCCCUCUCCCUUUUUUAAAUGUUGAAUUAGUAGGGUUUUUGUAUAGCUUUUUGUAUUAUGUGUAUUUAUGAUAUGUGAAAUGUACAUAAAAUUAAACAAUGUGAAAAUAAA